Molecule: ribosomal RNA, 55 nt
Filed under: Acaena argentea
Lineage: Eukaryota; Viridiplantae; Streptophyta; Magnoliopsida; Rosales; Rosaceae
Description: partial 18S ribosomal RNA
Rfam family: Eukaryotic small subunit ribosomal RNA
Source: RNAcentral
AGGAAUGAGAAGUCGUAACAAGGUUUCCGUAGGUGAACCUGCGGAAUAAUCAUUA